ACCUGGGUGGCUCAGUCGGUUAAGCAUCUGACUUCAGCUCAGGUCAUGAUCUCACAGUUCGUGAGUUCGAGCCUCAUGUCAGGCU
This 85-nucleotide transfer RNA is filed under the name Felis catus (domestic cat). It matches the Rfam family "tRNA". Rfam says of the family: Transfer RNA (tRNA) molecules are approximately 80 nucleotides in length. Their secondary structure includes four short double-helical elements and three loops (D, anti-codon, and T loops). Further hydrogen bonds mediate the characteristic L-shaped molecular structure. tRNAs have two regions of fundamental functional importance: the anti-codon, which is responsible for specific mRNA codon recognition, and the 3' end, to which the tRNAs corresponding amino acid is attached (by aminoacyl-tRNA synthetases). tRNAs cope with the degeneracy of the genetic code in two manners: having more than one tRNA (with a specific anti-codon) for a particular amino acid; and 'wobble' base-pairing, i.e. permitting non-standard base-pairing at the 3rd anti-codon position. Lineage: Eukaryota; Metazoa; Chordata; Mammalia; Carnivora; Felidae. The record is from Rfam by way of RNAcentral.